GACCUUGUCGGACGGCAUCAUAAUGUCGGGGAUGGGCAGCCGCACGCAGUCCGCCCCUUCCUCGAUCAGGGCCGCGUCAUCCGUUUUCAGUCGCCGUCACGGUCGUCG
Molecule: small RNA, 108 nt
Filed under: Sinorhizobium meliloti 2011
Lineage: Bacteria; Pseudomonadati; Pseudomonadota; Alphaproteobacteria; Hyphomicrobiales; Rhizobiaceae
Description: putative ncRNA
Source: RNAcentral